GACGAACGCUGGCGGCGUGCUUAACACAUGCAAGUCGAACGGAAAGGCCCUGCUUUUGUGGGGUGCUCGAGUGGCGAACGGGUGAGUAACACGUGAGUAACCUGCCCUUGACUUUGGGAUAACUUCAGGAAACUGGGGCUAAUACCGGAUAGGAGCUCCUGCUGCAUGGUGGGGGUUGGAAAGUUUCGGCGGUUGGGGAUGGACUCGCGGCUUAUCAGCUUGUUGGUGGGGUAGUGGCUUACCAAGGCUUUGACGGGUAGCCGGCCUGAGAGGGUGACCGGCCACAUUGGGACUGAGAUACGGCCCAGACUCCUACGGGAGGCAGCAGUGGGGAAUAUUGCACAAUGGGCGGAAGCCUGAUGCAGCAACGCCGCGUGCGGGAUGACGGCCUUCGGGUUGUAAACCGCUUUCGCCCGUGACGAAGCGUGAGUGACGGUAAUGGGUAAAGAAGCACCGGCUAACUACGUGCCAGCAGCCGCGGUGAUACGUAGGGUGCGAGCGUUGUCCGGAUUUAUUGGGCGUAAAGGGCUCGUAGGUGGUUGAUCGCGUCGGAAGUGUAAUCUUGGGGCUUAACCCUGAGCGUGCUUUCGAUACGGGUUGACUUGAGGAAGGUAGGGGAGAAUGGAAUUCCUGGUGGAGCGGUGGAAUGCGCAGAUAUCAGGAGGAACACCAGUGGCGAAGGCGGUUCUCUGGGCCUUUCCUGACGCUGAGGAGCGAAAGCGUGGGGAGCGAACAGGCUUAGAUACCCUGGUAGUCCACGCUGUAAACGGUGGGUACUAGGUGUGGGGUCCAUUCCACGGGUUCCGUGCCGUAGCUAACGCUUUAAGUACCCCGCCUGGGGAGUACGGCCGCAAGGCUAAAACUCAAAGGAAUUGACGGGGCCCCGCACAAGCGGCGGAGCAUGCGGAUUAAUUCGAUGCAACGCGUAGAACCUUACCUGGGUUUGACAUGGAUCGGGAGUGCUCAGAGAUGGGUGUGCCUCUUUUGGGGUCGGUUCACAGGUGGUGCAUGGCUGUCGUCAGCUCGUGUCGUGAGAUGUUGGGUUAAGUCCCGCAACGAGCGCAACCCUUGUUCACUGUUGCCAGCACGUUAUGGUGGGGACUCAGUGGAGACCGCCGGGGUCAACUCGGAGGAAGGUGGGGAUGACGUCAAGUCAUCAUGCCCCUUAUGUCCAGGGCUUCACGCAUGCUACAAUGGCUGGUACAGAGAGUGGCGAGCCUGUGAGGGUGAGCGAAUCUCGGAAAGCCGGUCUCAGUUCGGAUUGGGGUCUGCAACUCGACCUCAUGAAGUCGGAGUCGCUAGUAAUCGCAGAUCAGCAACGCUGCGGUGAAUAAGUUCCCGGGGCU
This 1346-nucleotide ribosomal RNA is filed under the name uncultured bacterium. Its description in RNAcentral is "partial 16S ribosomal RNA". It matches the Rfam family "Bacterial small subunit ribosomal RNA", at positions 28 to 1381 of the family's 1533-position model. The record is from RNAcentral.